Molecule: ribosomal RNA, 459 nt
Filed under: uncultured Bacilli bacterium
Lineage: Bacteria; Bacillati; Bacillota; Bacilli
Description: bacterial SSU rRNA
Rfam family: Bacterial small subunit ribosomal RNA
Source: RNAcentral
CGAGUUGAGAGACUGAUCGGCCACAAUGGGACUGAGACACGGCCCAUACUCCUACGGGAGGCAGCAGUAGGGAAUCUUCCACAAUGGGCGCAAGCCUGAUGGAGCAACACCGCGUGAGUGAAGAAGGGUUUCGGCUCGUAAAGCUCUGUUGUUAAAGAAGAACACGUAUGAGAGUAACUGUUCAUACGUUGACGGUAUUUAACCAGAAAGUCACGGCUAACUACGUGCCAGCAGCCGCGGUAAUACGUAGGUGGCAAGCGUUAUCCGGAUUUAUUGGGCGUAAAGAGAGUGCAGGCGGUUUUCUAAGUCUGAUGUGAAAGCCUUCGGCUUAACCGGAGAAGUGCAUCGGAAACUGGAUAACUUGAGUGCAGAAGAGGGUAGUGGAACUCCAUGUGUAGCGGUGGAAUGCGUAGAUAUAUGGAAGAACACCAGUGGCGAAGGCGGCUACCUGGUCUGCAA